This 2853-nucleotide ribosomal RNA is filed under the name Triticum aestivum (bread wheat). RNAcentral describes it as "partial small subunit ribosomal RNA". The record is from RNAcentral. Lineage: Eukaryota; Viridiplantae; Streptophyta; Magnoliopsida; Poales; Poaceae.
AUGGCGGCGCCCCGCGAGCUGGACCUCUCCGACGAGGUCGAGGGCGUGAUGGACGGCACCAUCGACUUCGUCUUCCGCCUCGUCGGCGACCCCAUCCCCCUCCUACCCUCCGCCUCCGCCCCGCUCCCCCUCUUCGACCUCCAGUCCCCUCCCGCGCGCCCGCUCGCCGUCUCCGACCUCCACGCCGCCGUCUUCCUCGCUCACCCCAACGGGUUUAUCGCCGCGAGGACGAAGGCGUUGAUCGAGGCCAGCAAGGAGGCCAGGGAGAAGGGCAAGGCGAGCACCCGCUGCGCCCAGGACUGCUGCGUCACCGACGUGCCCCUCCCCGGCGUCACUCUCCUAGCGCUCUCCCGCGACCAGUCCGUGCUAGCUGCCUGCACGGGCAGUGAGAUCCAGUUCUUCUCGGCUACUUCCUUGCUCACUGAUAAGGAUAUCAAGCCGUCAUCAUCAUGUAGCAUGGGACGAUCUGGCACUGUCAAAGAUUUCAAAUGGCUAGAUAAUGCCUCUAUUGUACUCUCAAAUGGUGGAUUGCUAUCUCAUGGGAGUUUGGGGCAAGGCCUGAAGGAUGUUGAUGCUGUUGACUGUUCCAAGGACGGGAACCAUAUUGCUGUGGCAAGAAAGAAUUCACUCAGGAUAUUAACACCAGAUUUGAAGGAAACAUGUUGCAUGGCCCUCUUGUUUCAGUUGUGGCCUGAUAGUGAUUCAGAGGGCACUGACAUCAAAGUGGAUUCCAUCGGGUGGGUUCGCGAUGAUAGCAUUGUUGUCGGUUGUGUUCGAUUGAAUGAAGAAAGCAAUGAAGAGGAUUAUCUGGUAAAAGUUAUAAGAAGUGGAGGAGAUACAUUUUUCGAGAGCUCAAGCAAGCCAGUUGUUCUUAGGUGUGAUGUUUCCAGAGGCAUAAGGAAUGAUAUUUUACCAUCUGGAGUUGGACCAAAUCUGCUAUUGGGCUAUCUGCAUCGCUGGGAUCUCCUGGUUGUUACAAAUAAAAAGAGCACUGAUGACCACAUUUCUCUUUUGAAAUGGCCGUCCAGAACUGAUGAGGAAAGAACUGUGGUAUACCUCGAAAUGGUGGAGGAUAGAUAUAGUCCUAGAAUUGAUCUGCAAGAAAAUGACGAUGACAAUGUUAUAUUGGGGUUUGGUGUGGAGAAUGUUUCAUUAUUUCAGAAGAUCACAGUACUGGUUGGACCUGAACAGAAGGAGGUUGCCCCUCAACAUCUUCUACUUUGUUUGACUAGUGAAGGGAAACUAAUUAUUUAUUAUCUUGCCAGGAUUUCUGACCCUUCCGAUUUACCUCAAACAAGUCUGUCUACCAUUGAGGAUAGUAAUGUGGAUAAACAAAUUUCUCCUGCAACUGUGUCUAAUAAGGAUCUGACUCCAAGUGUUACAAGUUCAAGCGCCAAGAGUCUGCUCGCAAGACCAGGGACGAUGGCCACGCACGACAGCAGCAAGGCGAAGAAAACAAGACCGGAGGAAUCUUGUAGAAAAUUGUUAAGCGCCGUCCUGGAAAAAUACAAUGUUGAGUGUGAAAAUUACGAUGAUGACCUCAUUAUCUAUUCUAAAGACUCUGAUGUUAUAUUGAGAAUUGAGAAGACGCUGAGUGCACCUCCUGAUUGCGAUAAACCAACCGACUACAACAAAUUGAUCGAAGAGCUGCAAACGGUAACCAAGAGAAUGGUUGCACGGAAAUAUGCACGUGAGAGAGAUGUUCUGGUGAAGAAUUUGCUGUUGGCAAUAGAUAAGAUCUCUCACUUUGAGUCAGAUAUACCGUUUGUCGACAAGCAAAAUAAGGAUGCAGCUUUGCAAGCAAAAGACUGGCUUUUGAACAAGCAGAGGGAGCAGAAGUCGGUCUCAAUAUAUGAAGAUGCUGUCCUAAAGUGUACUGCUUUAGACAACUGGAUUAAGAGGCUAGAAUUAGAUCAAACAACUGAAGGGUCAUUACUACAGGAUUCUUCGACGUCUUCAAGUGGAUACGAGGAGUUGCCAGAGGGGAGUUCGGUUGAGGAACAAACGAAUAAAUUUCCCCCAAGAUCAGUUCCUACAGGGGAGACUCUUCUUGAAAUUUUUAGAGUAGAGACAAACUUGGCCUUGAUAAAGACCAUCCUGGUCUAUGAUUAUAAAGGUGCUGCAUUAGUCUAUAAAUCUAAGCAAGGGGAUAAGAGCCGAUUUCGUAGAAGGUGUUCCAAUUGGCUGUCAAAACAUACCAAGAAAACCCGUUCUGAUUUCAUAGAUUCGCUCACUCUCACAGGCCCGACUCGGCCAAUGACUGCUGACGGAGAGUGCUGGGUCAUUAAACUCGACGUGCCGGCUGAGUCAAGUUUUGGGGUCGAGGACCCUGAAUUGUGUGACAAACUUUUCAAAGCAACAUUGCCACUGAGUUCUGAUUACAUUGACAGGCCCCGAUGCAGCUUAUUGUCUAUCCGAGGUGGAGUUGUAAAUAUCUCGUCCAUUACAUUUAGCAACGCCCUUCGUUGCACUGUCAGGUUUAUUCUUGAUCGUCGUGUCGAUGUCAGUGCUAAACAGUUUUAUAUCCGAGGUGAACUUACAUUGUCAGUUGAAGACUAUGAUGUGAAGUUCACGCUUUUUAGAAGUCAAUUCCCAAAAGUCACUGCACGCAUUCUUAGUGAGACAAAGGUUGAAAUUCCAUUACUUAAGGAUGUCCUCUCCCUUCCUGUUGGAGCCCGGGUGCAUGUAGGGGGUAUUCUGAAAUUGAGAAGAGGGAAAGUGCUUGUUGAUGACCAUCUUAUCCUUGACAAGGAGACAGUAGAGGCUGAAUGGCCUGUGAUUCCAUUGAAUGGGGUUGCUUCUCCUAGUCACCUGAAGGCUUGCUUAUCGAUUGCAUUAUGUGACUACAUCUAG